Small nuclear RNA from Microtus ochrogaster (prairie vole), 158 nucleotides. Its record names the gene U1. It matches the Rfam family "U1 spliceosomal RNA". Rfam says of the family: U1 is a small nuclear RNA (snRNA) component of the spliceosome (involved in pre-mRNA splicing). Its 5' end forms complementary base pairs with the 5' splice junction, thus defining the 5' donor site of an intron. NCBI's taxonomy places the organism in Eukaryota, Metazoa, Chordata, Mammalia, Rodentia, Cricetidae. The record is from Ensembl.
AGUCUUAAGGGAGGUAAUGUGAUUGCAAAGGUGAUUUCUCAGGGAAAUGGUCAUCUAUCAUACUCUAGGUAUACUAAUUCCAGUGGUUUCCACAAAUGUUGGAAAUUCAAUUCCAUAAUUUCUGGUUAGUAGGGGGGCUCCCUUUUGCUCUUCCCUAA